CUGCCGCUUAGUUGCAAUAGGGGAAGGGUGACAUCCGCUAUUGCUUGCAAUGGCAAUUCUAGUUAUGGCACCCUCAACGGAGUUGGGGUGACAUAUUGUUAUUGUUCGUUUCUUUUUUUUUCUUUUUAUUAUUAUGGCACCCUCAACGGAGUUGGGUGACAUAUUGUUAUUCUACGUUUCUUUUUCUUAUUAUUUUUUUCUUCCACUUUUUUUUGUCCAGCUUAUAUCUCGGAAUUUUAUGAACCAAUGUUAAUGGAACUUACCAUAAUGUUGACCAGCAUGUGCAGAUUUGCAAUCGGGGUAUGGCACUUUCAAGAUGGCCGCAGUUACCAUGGAAACGGAACAAAUGUGAAAAAAUACAGUUUUUCGUUUUGGUGAACUGUUUGGAUAUGCUUUAAGUCAGAAUCAUGUAUAUUUUAAUACAAUGUAGGUGUCCACUAUAUACAGGUGUUGGAUGAUUUUGACACUCAUUGGAACUACUAUGUUGCCAUGGAAACUACACCAAAAAAUUUAAAAUUCUCAAAAUGUUCAACUUCAGGAAACUUCACAGUAAGGAUGAGCAACAUUGGAAGAUGUGGAAUUUGGCGUUGGAAUUUCCAAAAUAUCUCUUGUUACCAUGGAAACAAUGCUAAAAGGCCAAAACUUUGAAUUUU
This 653-nucleotide long non-coding RNA is filed under the name Mytilus galloprovincialis (Mediterranean mussel). The record is from RNAcentral. Lineage: Eukaryota; Metazoa; Mollusca; Bivalvia; Mytilida; Mytilidae.